RNAcentral lists this transfer RNA (75 nucleotides) under Candidatus Peregrinibacteria bacterium RIFOXYA2_FULL_33_7. Its description in RNAcentral is "tRNA-Gln". It matches the Rfam family "tRNA". Rfam says of the family: Transfer RNA (tRNA) molecules are approximately 80 nucleotides in length. RNAcentral also lists the same sequence under 1 other name. Lineage: Bacteria; Candidatus Peregrinibacteriota. The record is from RNAcentral.
UGGGGUGUCGCCAAGUGGUAAGGCAGCGGUUUCUGGAACCGCCAUUCGGGGGUUCGAAUCCCUCCACCCCAGCCA